This 228-nucleotide ribosomal RNA is filed under the name uncultured bacterium. Its description in RNAcentral is "partial 16S ribosomal RNA". It matches the Rfam family "Bacterial small subunit ribosomal RNA", at positions 568 to 796 of the family's 1533-position model. The record is from RNAcentral.
UGUGUAGGCGGGAGUCUAAGUCAGUGGUGAAAUCUCACAGCUCAACUGUGAAACUGCCAUUGAAACUGGAUUUCUUGAGUAUAGUUGAGGUAGGCGGAAUGUGUAAUGUAGCGGUGAAAUGCUUAGAUAUUACACAGAACACCGAUUGCGAAGGCAGCUUACUAAGCUAUUACUGACGCUGAUGCACGAAAGCGUGGGGAGCGAACAGGAUUAGAUACCCUGUAGUCC